AGUGCGCUUUUUGCCAAAGGAGUCGAAUAAUUUGAGCUUUUUAUGGCCUGCAGCCUAUGGACGGCCUCUACUGUUGAUCAACACCUUAAAGCCACAUGUUAAAGAGUGCGCUUUUGCCAAGGAGUCGAAUAAUUGAGUUUUAUGAGAGAGAGAGAGAGAGAGAGAGAGAGAGAGAGA
RNAcentral lists this long non-coding RNA (177 nucleotides) under Priapulus caudatus. Its description in RNAcentral is "uncharacterized LOC106804705, transcript variant X2". Lineage: Eukaryota; Metazoa; Priapulida; Priapulimorpha; Priapulimorphida; Priapulidae. The record is from RNAcentral.